RNAcentral lists this ribosomal RNA (429 nucleotides) under Acidobacteriota bacterium. RNAcentral describes it as "Acidobacteria bacterium partial 16S ribosomal RNA". It matches the Rfam family "Bacterial small subunit ribosomal RNA", at positions 355 to 776 of the family's 1533-position model. The record is from RNAcentral. Lineage: Bacteria; Pseudomonadati; Acidobacteriota.
UGGGGAAUUUUUGACAAUGGGGGAAACCCUGAUCCAGCCAUCCCGCGUGUGCGAUGAAGGCCUUCGGGUUGUAAAGCACUUUUGGCAGGAAAGAAACGUCAUGGGUUAAUACCCCGUGAAACUGACGGUACCUGCAGAAUAAGCACCGGCUAACUACGUGCCAGCAGCCGCGGUAAUACGUAGGGUGCAAGCGUUAAUCGGAAUUACUGGGCGUAAAGCGUGCGCAGGCGGUUCGGAAAGAAAGAUGUGAAAUCCCAGAGCUCAACUUUGGAACUGCAUUUGUAACUACCGGGCUAGAGUGUGUCGUAGGGAGGGGGAAUUCCGCGUGUAGCAGUGAAAUGCGUAGGUAUGCGGAGGAACACCGAUGGCGAAGGCAGCAUCCUGAGAUAACACUGCCGCUCAUGGACGAAAGCGUGGGGAGCAAACAGG